ACUCAAAGGAAUUGACGGGGACCCGCACAAGCGGUGGAGCAUGUGGUUUAAUUCGAUGCAACGCGAAGAACCUUACCUGGCCUUGACAUCCUGGGAACCCUGCAGAGAUGCGGGGGUGCCUUCGGGAACCCAGAGACAGGUGCUGCAUGGCUGUCGUCAGCUCGUGUCGUGAGAUGUUGGGUUAAGUCCCGCAACGAGCGCAACCCUUGUCCUUAGUUGCCAGCAUUUGGUUGGGAACUCUAAGGAGACCGCCGGUGACAAACCGGAGGAAGGUGGGGAUGACGUCAAGUCAUCAUGGCCUUUAUGGCCAGGGCUACACACGUGCUACAAUGGUAGAUACAGAGGGAAGCCAACGCGCAAGCGGGAGCCAAUCCCAGAAAAUCUAUCGUAGUCCGGAUCGGAGUCUGCAACUCGACUCCGUGAAGUCGGAAUCGCUAGUAAUCGCAGAUCAGCAUUGCUGCGGUGAAUACGUUCCCGGGUCUUGUACACACCGCCCGU
Molecule: ribosomal RNA, 498 nt
Filed under: uncultured bacterium
Lineage: Bacteria
Description: bacterial SSU rRNA
Rfam family: Bacterial small subunit ribosomal RNA
Source: RNAcentral